RNAcentral lists this ribosomal RNA (253 nucleotides) under uncultured bacterium. RNAcentral describes it as "partial 16S ribosomal RNA". It matches the Rfam family "Bacterial small subunit ribosomal RNA", at positions 524 to 776 of the family's 1533-position model. The record is from RNAcentral.
UACGAAGGGGGCUAGCGUUGCUCGGAAUCACUGGGCGUAAAGGGUGCGUAGGCGGGUCUUUAAGUCAGAGGUGAAAUCCUGGAGCUCAACUCCAGAACUGCCUUUGAUACUGAGGAUCUUGAGUUCGGGAGAGGUGAGUGGAACUGCGAGUGUAGAGGUGAAAUUCGUAGAUAUUCGCAAGAACACCAGUGGCGAAGGCGGCUCACUGGCCCGGUACUGACGCUGAGGUGCGAAAGCGUGGGGAGCAAACGGG